GCACUUUUUUGGGAACAAAUAUUGGUAUUUUAUUUAUAACUCAACAAAAAACAUACAAGGAAAAAUGGCCUAAAUAAAACACAAAUAAAAACAAAAGAGAACCGGCAGCCCAACCACCACAUAUGAUCCAUACCAUUUAAUACAUAUAAAUUGUGAUAGGAUUUCCUAAUCCACCUAACCCCUUUCUUACCUAAACCUUCUAACACCUGAGAGAUGUUUUCACUGCAUUUCAGCUUCCAAAUGACCUUUCUCCUCCUUUGGAUUAUCGACACUUUACCCAAAUCGACAACCAUGUUCCUUAAAUAAGCUUUCAAAUGUAAGCUCAUCUGUUUAUCAUUCCUUUGUCUAUUCAAAUCCAGUGGUAAGUGUAAGUGGAAUCUCUUUUUUGUUGAGGGUGCUCGUUCAAGAUUGUAGGUAUCCGUCACCAACUAUGUAACAAACAACUUCCAACUUUGCAUUUUAUUUCUCUUCUGAAUGAACUAUCUUUGCAGGUGAAACACAUGGUGGAGUGCAAGGAAAUCUUCACAGUUCUUCCUAAUGGUGCCAAAUUCCUCCAUCAGAUUACACAUGUCAGAUCUGACCCUAUCCCCUUUAUUUUUGCCAAGUCCUUUUUAAAGGUUGUAGAUUGAUAGGCUAUUUAUCAUUUUCAAUUUUUUGUUACCUAAAGGCAAAUGGAAAUAUGCAAAUAUUCUAUGUGAAGAAACUAUAUUUUUAGCCUUCGUAGUAUAACUCCCCGAGAGUAUACCCAGGGUGUCACAUGGUGCUUACAGUCCCGAGGGACUACAAGCUAACCCAUGAGCUGGUACCUACUGUGAGCACUAAAUAAUAUAAUAACAUAUGCGAAAGAACAACUAAUAAGCCAUAAGGUUUUAGCAACUAAAAUCAAUGCUGGAUCAUGACUUUGGAAACAACUGUCGAAAACUAAUAAAACAAUAAGAAAACUGAUUGACUGUCUAUACUAGUCUGAAAAAGCCUCUACUGACUGACUAUGGAGUAGAUAGGACAAAGCCCCAACUAGCUCCAUCUGAAUAGAAAAUACUGAGAUAUUAAAAUAACUAAGUUAAAUAGACCAUGUCCUCAAAAUAUGAAGACUCACCACUGCUACGACUGGAAAUCCAGAAUGUCUAUGUGCUAUCUGGAAACUGAGCAUCCGAACCUAUGAUAUGAUACAUCAUAGUGCAAAAAAUGUGCGUGUGAUCAGUACUUUGAAUGUACUAGUAUGCAAAAUAAGGUAGGCUGAUAUGUAUUGUUUUAUGUACAGGAGUAUUAACUCACUGAAUGGAUAGCAUGAAGUACUGAAUGGAUUGCAUGAAAUUUGUAAAUACUAAGAAUUCAUGAUCAAGCAUAAAACAUAUUCUAAAUAUAAUUUGUAAACUAAAAUACUAAAUUAUGAUGACUGAAUAAUUGAUAUCUGCAUGCUAUGGUAAAUACAAUCCUGACUAAAGUACACUGACUACUGAACUGAGACUGUGGGAGCUAUCAUCUAAUCGACAUGCCCCAAUGAGUAAUUUGGGGUCUAUCCUGUAACCCCAGUUAGAAGGGUGUUAGUACCGUGCCACAGGUAUUAACACUGGCUGUAUGGAUCCAUUGAAAUAUUAUCUCUAAGGACUAAGGGUGUUAAGCCUAAACUGAUGGGUGACCCCUGGAAGGUAGCCAAGCCUGAACUAAUGGGUGACUUCUCAAAUCUUACGCUUUCUACGUAGUUCUAAAGUAUAGGUACUGAUACUAACGACUCUGGCUAACUGACGGGGAAUUCAUCAUCCCAGUACUCGCUCGGUGCUAAAUCUAACUCCCAACUGAACUGACUCAGAAUACUGAACUGUUUUAAAUUUAGCUGAUCAUGACAACUGACUGAACUGAUAUUGCUCAUAACAUGUCUAAAACUAAUCUGAAUAUACUGAGGCUAGUAAAAAAAACUAAGUUUUCGGGUAUUCAUAACCCCCAGGACUCGAUAGAAAUAAUAGCAAAAUAGUACUAAAACUUUGGGGACAUAAUAUGAAAGCAUUUAUUCAAAAUUCAUUCUUGUAGGCAUUCAUCAAACACUUGAUAUGCAUAGUGUAAACUAAGCAUGGGAAUAGUUUAAUGCUUGUAGUAAUAGCAUGAUUUCAACAUCAACAUUACUAAUUAUAGUUUAAAUCAGCAAAUAACAUUAUUCAAAUGUGUGGGGUUUGAUAACAACAAUAAUUUCAUAUAAACAUGGUAUAGAAUCAAGAUUCAUGGGGAUUCAUGUAAAAUCACAAUUAAAAUCAAAAUAACUAGUAAAAAUAAUAACUUGGACUUUUCAAUUAGAUUCUUGGACUCCAUGGGUGAAAGGGACUCAUGGAUGAACAUUUAAUAUACCUUAGUUGGUGAAAUUGAGAAAGUUCUUGAUUAAUUCUUGAAGUUUGAUCUUGAAUGUUAGAUGAGUUAGGGUUUGUUUCUUGAAAGAGGGCUACUUUAAUUUGUGAGGAUUGUGUAACAAUGAGCAAAUAAUACUCUCUUAGGACUUAAAUCUCGUGUUUGGGCUGAAUAAGGUGAAGGAAAGGGACUUAAAUGACCUUUGGAAAUUAAAACUCGAAACUAGACUAGAAAUCCCAAUUUCGGCCUUCAGCGUGACGCGGUGCAAUUGCUUCGGGCCACUGGAAAAGGACAAUCCUUAUUUUAUCCAACUGUGCGAUACGGUGCUAUUGCAUCGCACCACUAGAAAAGAACAAUCCCGAACCAACACUUUGGUCCAAUGCGGCACCAUUGCGGUGCUCCACUGAAUGUGAAUUUUCCCCUUAGUGUGACGCGGCAUUAUCAGGUGGUCUACUGGAAAAGGAUGAGCCAUCACCGCGACUCAGCCUUAUCAUGUCGGGCUACUAUUUUCCACUAAAAGUAUCAUAAAUUCUCACCUGAGUAUCAGAUUUAGGCAAAAUUGGUAUCAUUGAAAAGAUAAUUCAAUUUUCUAUAAUUUGGUGGGUAUUGAGAUGGAAAAUUCUGAUUAUAAAAAAAUAUAUUCUCAUUUGAAGUUAACUAAAGAAACAUUCUUACCAAAAACUCAAUCGGUAAGGAAUAUUUUGAUUCGUCUAAUUGCUAGGAGUUCUUUGAGGCGUUAAUAUACUCCAAACUCAAACAUAAAACUACCAAAUAACUAAAAUUUAUUUUGCAUGAGCUUAUAAUAUGGCUCUAACAUAGGUUUGGAUUUUCAAGGUAUUACACAUAGCCCCUUCAUCCUUUGAUGGAUCAAACUCUUAAAUAUGGGCUUUGUAGUUUAUUAGUAUGUAAGAUCCUUCUGCCUUUUGUUUCCAUGCUCUUAAAUUAUUGAUAGUUGUAAUUACCUGAUAUCGGACAAAUGGUCAUCUUAUCUUUUGAUGACAUCUUUAGAGGCCAACACAUAGAGGCUCAAGACUUCGUCACCUCAAGGAUAAGAGAACAUGCAUGGAGGAUCCAUUUUGAGCAUGUCAUUAAACAAACCCGUCUGUGGAAGAUUACGUGGGAGAUUACAUUUGAUACCAAUUCAAGACUACAAGUUUUGAAGCGUGGCCCCAUAGUUUUGGAUCAUUGAAGAAGCACCCUUCAUUAAGAGUAUUUUGGGGAUUGCACAUGUUAAAUAAACAACCCAUGACCUCCUCUUUCAUUAAGGGUAUUUUGAUCCAUUAUACUGUGUAAUAAGC
RNAcentral lists this long non-coding RNA (3635 nucleotides) under Capsicum annuum. Its description in RNAcentral is "long non-coding RNA (CANN_LNC015964)". Lineage: Eukaryota; Viridiplantae; Streptophyta; Magnoliopsida; Solanales; Solanaceae. The record is from RNAcentral.